Long non-coding RNA from Pseudophryne corroboree (corroboree frog), 378 nucleotides. RefSeq lists it as uncharacterized. Lineage: Eukaryota; Metazoa; Chordata; Amphibia; Anura; Myobatrachidae. The record is from RefSeq and is a predicted model, not a curated record. The transcript is spliced from 3 exons.
GUCUUGCGGAGUAUCCUUCCCAAGUUGCGUGGAUGUGAAGGGACACAACAGUUCCCCUGAUGUACCAUGGGCGACCUACUUGUGAUGUGGACCUGAAACUCCGCCAUGUAGCAGACAACCCCCAUCAGGUCUUGCGGAGUAUCCUUCCCAAGUUGCGUGGAUGUGAAGGGACACAACAGUUCCCCUGAUGUACCAUGGGCGACCUACUUGUGAUGUGGACCUGAACCUCCGCCAUGUAGCAGGAAACCCCCAUCAGGUCUUGCAGAGUAUCCUUCCCAAGUUGCGUGGAUGUGAAGGGACACAACAGUUCCCCUGAUGUACCAUGGGCGACCUACUUGUGAUGUGGACCUGAACCUCCGCCAUGUAGCAGACGACCCC